RNAcentral lists this long non-coding RNA (278 nucleotides) under Elaeis guineensis (African oil palm). RNAcentral describes it as "long non-coding RNA (EGUI_LNC045931)". The record is from RNAcentral. Lineage: Eukaryota; Viridiplantae; Streptophyta; Magnoliopsida; Arecales; Arecaceae.
UCUCCCAUAGAGUUGGUCAAGGGAGUUUUGGGUUUGGGUCACUUGACCCUGUGUUUAUAUAUACAUGCACUGUAUAGGUUUGAUUAAGCCAAGGAAUAUGAAAACCCUUUCUCCCAAGUCUCUCUCUCUCUUCUCCCUCUCUCUUCAGCUAUUCUCCAUGCCCCAGGAGCAAGAAACUCUAGGGUUUCUUGCCGCCAGGUCCAUAGAAGGCAGGAAAAGUAGGGGAGGCACUAGGGUUUUGAGCCUCUCCCCCUUUGUGCCGCCAACCAUAUUGCCUC